RNAcentral lists this non-coding RNA (90 nucleotides) under unclassified sequences. RNAcentral describes it as "c-di-GMP sequence". It matches the Rfam family "c-di-GMP-I riboswitch aptamer". From Rfam's summary of the family: GEMM was predicted in a large-scale screen for bacterial structured RNA regulatory elements. Genes associated with GEMM are involved in a diverse array of functions, including chemotaxis regulation, signal transduction, secretion and chitin. The record is from RNAcentral.
CCUGAAAAAUGCCACUUCGACCGAAAGGCGGAGGCGCAAAGAUCCCGAUCUAACAGAUGCUACUUUUCUUAUGAUGGCGGGAUUGCCAGG